Molecule: ribosomal RNA, 253 nt
Filed under: uncultured bacterium
Lineage: Bacteria
Description: partial 16S ribosomal RNA
Rfam family: Bacterial small subunit ribosomal RNA
Source: RNAcentral
UACGUAGGGCGCAAGCGUUGUCCGGAAUUAUUGGGCGUAAAGAGCUCGUAGGCGGUUUGUCGCGUCUGCUGUGAAAACUCGAGGCUCAACCUCGGGCUUGCAGUGGGUACGGGCAGACUAGAGUGCGGUAGGGGUGACUGGAAUUCCUGGUGUAGCGGUGGAAUGCGUAGAUAUCAGGAGGAACACCGGUGGCGAAGGCGGAUCUCUGGGCCUUACCUGACGCUGAGGCGCGAAAGCUAGGGGAGCAAACAGG